UCUGACCGCCUCGAAGCUACA
This 21-nucleotide non-coding RNA is filed under the name Arabidopsis thaliana (thale cress). Lineage: Eukaryota; Viridiplantae; Streptophyta; Magnoliopsida; Brassicales; Brassicaceae. The record is from RNAcentral.